This 496-nucleotide ribosomal RNA is filed under the name uncultured bacterium. RNAcentral's name for it is "partial 16S ribosomal RNA". It matches the Rfam family "Bacterial small subunit ribosomal RNA", at positions 28 to 506 of the family's 1533-position model. The record is from RNAcentral.
GAUGAACGCUGGCGGCGUGCCUAAUACAUGCAAGUCGAGCGAACAGAUGAGGAGCUUGCUCCUCUGACGUUAGCGGCGGACGGGUGAGUAACACGUGGAUAACCUCCCUAUAAGUCUGGGAUAACUUCGGGAAACCGGAGCUAAUACCGGAUAAUAUAUUGCACCACAUGGUUCAAUAGUGAAAGACGGUUUUGCUGUCACUUCUAGAUGGAUCCGCGCCGCAUUAGCUAGUUGGUAAGGUAACGGCUUACCAAGGCAACGAUGCGUAGCCGACCUGAGGGGGUGAACGGCCACACAGGAGCUGAGACACGAUCCAGGCACCGACGGGAGGCAGCAGUAGGUAAUCGUGCGCAAAGUGCGAAAGCCUGACGGAGCGACGGCGCGUGAGUGAAGAAGGGCUUCGGAUCGUAAAACGCUGUUAGGAGUGAAGAACGAAUGUGUAAGUAACGAUGCGCGUCUUGACGGUAUCGAAACAGAAAGCCACGGCUAACUACGU